GGUGGUGUGGCUGAGCGGUCAAAGGCGCUGGAUUAAGGCUUCAGUCUCUUCGGGGCCAUGGGUUCGAAUCCCACCACUGCCA
RNAcentral lists this transfer RNA (82 nucleotides) under Tauraco erythrolophus (red-crested turaco). It matches the Rfam family "tRNA". From Rfam's summary of the family: Transfer RNA (tRNA) molecules are approximately 80 nucleotides in length. Their secondary structure includes four short double-helical elements and three loops (D, anti-codon, and T loops). The record is from Rfam by way of RNAcentral. Lineage: Eukaryota; Metazoa; Chordata; Aves; Musophagiformes; Musophagidae.